Long non-coding RNA from Nelumbo nucifera (sacred lotus), 343 nucleotides. RefSeq lists it as uncharacterized. NCBI's taxonomy places the organism in Eukaryota, Viridiplantae, Streptophyta, Magnoliopsida, Proteales, Nelumbonaceae. The record is from RefSeq and is a predicted model, not a curated record.
AGAGGAUAUAGGAUAUUAGGAUAUUCCUUCCCUGUUUAGUAUAUCCUCUUCUCUGCUCCAACAACCAGCAUAUUCUCUCUGAGGGAAGUGGUUUAAAUUUCCAAGGUGAAUGCUUUAGAGAGAAAGCAAGAGAUAACACGUAAUGGGCCUGAUCGAAUUCGCAUUGGAUUUGAAUUCAUAACAUCCUUAGAUAUCUUCUUAGCUGGCAAGCUUGGUGGUGGGGUGGGAUGGAUAAAAGUGGAAUUUAAUCCCAGGUCAGAGAUGUCAUACUUAUCAGCUGCACGGAGAAGUGCAAGCCGGUGGGUCAGAAACUCAUCCUGUUGGAUGUUGCCAUAGAUGUAGU